Molecule: ribosomal RNA, 497 nt
Filed under: uncultured bacterium
Lineage: Bacteria
Description: partial 16S ribosomal RNA
Rfam family: Bacterial small subunit ribosomal RNA
Source: RNAcentral
GAUGAACGCUGGCGGCGUGCCUAAUACAUGCAAGUCGAGCGAACAGAUGAGGAGCUUGCUCCUCUGACGUUAGCGGCGGACGGGUGAGUAACACGUGGAUAACCUACCUAUAAGACUGGGAUAACUUCGGGAAACCGGAGCUAAUACCGGAUAAUAUAUUGAACCGCAUGGUUCAAUAGUGAAAGACGGUUUUGCUGUCACUUAUAGAUGGAUCCGCGCCGCAUUAGCUAGUUGGUAAGGUAACGGCUUACCAAGGCAACGAUGCGUAGCCGACCUGAGAGGGUGAUCGGCCACACUGGAACGGAGACACGGUCCAGACUCCUACGGGAGGCAGCAGUAGGGAAUCUGCCGCAAUGGGCGAAAGCCUGACGGAGCAACGCCGCGUGAGUGAUGAAGGUCUUCGGAUCGUAAAACUCUGUUAUUAGGGAAGAACAAAUGUGUAAGUAACUAUGCACGUCUUGACGGUACCUAAUCAAAAAGCCACGGCUAACUACGUG